This 686-nucleotide long non-coding RNA is filed under the name Phoenix dactylifera (date palm). RNAcentral's name for it is "long non-coding RNA (PDAC_LNC019445)". The record is from RNAcentral. Lineage: Eukaryota; Viridiplantae; Streptophyta; Magnoliopsida; Arecales; Arecaceae.
UUCUGAUGUGUUGACGACAGGUAUUAAUCUAGUCCCAAUAUUUAUUUCUAUUUAUUGUCUAACCAUACCCACUGCUCUUUGUUAGAUAACUCAUUAUACUGCUAGAAAAGAUUAAAUAGUUACAUGACAUUUUUGAUUAGUUGUCAAAAGAAGAAUAUAAACUUUUAAAUUUCGAAAGUGUUCACACGAAUUAAGACAUAAUAAGGAAUGUACCAAUAAGCAAGUAAUUCUAGGGAAAAAAAAAAUCUAGACUUGACAUGGGUAUGUUGAGGUUUAAACCAGUGUGUGCGGAGGAAGUGUGGUGGAUGGAAUUAUUUGACAUUGGUCAGACAAGACGGCUUUGAUUUGAAGAGUGUUAUGACUUGAUUUGAAAGAAGUAUUUUCUACUCUUGAAUUGCAUGUACGAAAAUUUCGUAGACGAAAUUUCUUUUAAGGGAGGAAAGAUGUGAGACCCCGGAACUGGGCCCAGUCCAUUUGACCAGCCCAGUCCCAGGUUUCGGCCUUACGUGCGUUGCACGUGAGGCACCGGGAUGGAUCAGGAUCCAUCCCAAAGAAGGAGGAAGCCCUAUUUUUUAGGGCUUCUUCUCCUUCUCUUUGAGGCCACCCGAGUCCUCUCUUCUUCCUCGUGCAGCCGCCCAAGUGGGAGAGAGAGGGAGAGAGAGAGGGAGGGAGCCGUCGGAGCCGGA